CCCCUGAGGGAAAGUUGAAAAGAACUUUGAAGAGAGAGUUCAAUAGUACGUGAAACCGUCCAGAGGUAAACGAAUGAAGCCGAACAGUCGGCGUCCAGAUCAGCCCGGCGGGCGUUCGCCGCGCGUUUCGCUUGCACCUCAGUCCACUGAGGCGGCGAGGCGCGUAGGUGAGCGGUCGUCGGGCGUAUUCUGCGCGUCGAGCGUCGUAACCGGCGCGAUGGUGGAGAUGCCGGCGUGAACGGAAGUGAACGUGCCAACUUUGGUGCGAUCAUGGAGGCUCGUCGCGCGCUCGUACCGUCGUGCUGAGGCUGCUGUGCCCGACCCGCCGUGUGCGCGGACGGCGUGGAUUCUGCGGUGAACUGGCGUGUCCGAUGCUUUGCAUUGGGCGGGCUUUUUUGUCGCUUUUUUCGUGUCGUCUGCGUGGGUCGGUAUAGUUGACGGCGUAUAUCGGUCACUCAUUCGACCCGUCUUGAAACACGGACCAAGAAGUCUAACAUGUACGCGAGUCACUGGGUCUACCGAAACCCAAAGGCGCAAUGAAAGUAAACGUAGGUGAGAUCGGCGACUAUGUUGCCGCGCAUCACCGGCUCGUUCCACUUCUUCGUGAAUGGGGCGAAGCAUGAGCGUACAUGUUGGGACCCGAAAGAUGGUGAACUAUGGCUGGCGAGGACGAAGCCAGAGGAAACUCUGGUGGAGGUCCGUAGCGAUUCUGACGUGCAAAUCGAUCGUCAAAGCCGGCUAUAGGGGCGAAAGACUAAUCGAACCAUCUAGUAGCUGGUU
This 780-nucleotide ribosomal RNA is filed under the name Macrodasyida sp. Macro1. RNAcentral's name for it is "eukaryotic LSU rRNA". It matches the Rfam family "Eukaryotic large subunit ribosomal RNA", at positions 350 to 956 of the family's 3401-position model. Lineage: Eukaryota; Metazoa; Gastrotricha; Macrodasyida. The record is from RNAcentral.